Molecule: transfer RNA, 103 nt
Filed under: Belgica antarctica
Lineage: Eukaryota; Metazoa; Arthropoda; Insecta; Diptera; Chironomidae
Description: tRNA IU25_tRNA_118
Source: RNAcentral
CCUUCGAGCCGGAGUUGAACCAGCGACCUAUGGAUAUCUGCUUGAAACUUAAGCUUCACGCCACGCUACAGUCCACCGCUCUACCAACUGAGCUAUCGAAGGU